Molecule: ribosomal RNA, 506 nt
Filed under: uncultured Thauera sp.
Lineage: Bacteria; Pseudomonadati; Pseudomonadota; Betaproteobacteria; Rhodocyclales; Zoogloeaceae
Description: bacterial SSU rRNA
Rfam family: Bacterial small subunit ribosomal RNA
Source: RNAcentral
GGCGAACGGGUGAGUAAUGCAUCGGAACGUACCCGGGAGUGGGGGAUAACGUAGCGAAAGUUACGCUAAUACCGCAUAUUCUGUGAGCAGGAAAGAGGGGGAUCGCAAGACCUCUUGCUUCCGGAGCGGCCGAUGUCGGAUUAGCUAGUUGGUGAGGUAAAGGCUUACCAAGGCGACGAUCCGUAGCGGGUCUGAGAGGAUGAUCCGCCACACUGGGACUGAGACACGGCCCAGACUCCUACGGGAGGCAGCAGUGGGGAAUUUUGGACAAUGGGGGCAACCCUGAUCCAGCCAUGCCGCGUGAGUGAAGAAGGCCUUCGGGUUGUAAAGCUCUUUCGGCUGGGAAGAAAUCGCAUCUCCUAAUACGGGGUGUGGAUGACGGUACCGGAAUAAGAAGCACCGGCUAACUACGUGCCAGCAGCCGCGGUAAUACGUAGGGUGCGAGCGUUAAUCGGAAUUACUGGGCGUAAAGCGUGCGCAGGCGGCUCUAUAAGACAGAUGUGAAA